This 780-nucleotide transfer RNA is filed under the name Bradyrhizobium sp. 05LoM26_3. RNAcentral's name for it is "16S-23S ribosomal RNA intergenic spacer". The stretch from base 189 to 262 matches the Rfam family "tRNA". The record is from RNAcentral. Lineage: Bacteria; Pseudomonadati; Pseudomonadota; Alphaproteobacteria; Hyphomicrobiales; Nitrobacteraceae.
CUAAGGAUGGUUCUUCAGAAGCUUGCUUCUAUCGAACCGUUUUAGAAACAUCAGUGGCCAACGGUCGUCAGGAUCGUUGAGCUGCAUUGGCGGGAUUUCGCCGUCUUCGUUUCUCUUUCUUCGCGGACGAACACGCGCUGGGGCUGCAACCUUGCAGAAUCCCUGGUCCUUGACUGGAUAUGCGUUAGGGGCUUGUAGCUCAGUUGGUUAGAGCGCGCGCUUGAUAAGCGUGAGGUCGGAAGUUCAAGUCUUCCCAGGCCCACCACACUCAUCGAGUGAGCAUUCGUCUUCUGGUUACGGGGCCAUAGCUCAGCUGGGAGAGCGCGUGCUUUGCAAGCAUGAGGUCGUCGGUUCGAUCCCGUCUGGCUCCACCAGAUGGUUUGAUCACCGACUACUCAUACCGUCGUCCGCGAAACAUCACUUCGCACUUACUAGUCCGGAUGGACAGUAAGCUGCGUGAUUUCUGACAUCGUAAAGAGGAGAUCGAUCCGAGUUGGAUCGGGCAACAAGUAAUUGUUGCGCGAUACUCCAUUAUCUCCGGAUCAUUUCGGCGCUCGUGGCGUCUUUUAGCGUAGCUCACAAGGCUGCAUUGAAAGACAAGCGAGUUGUAAAUGAUCCUUUUAGCGAAGCUUGACCGCCUCGCUAUCGGAACGAUCUUACGAAGCAAGCUGGUCUUUCUAAUCAUUGUCCGGCUGCAGAUAGCGUUCAUCGAGGGCGCGUGCCGCAAGGCAGUUCUGCAGACAACAUUCUGCCGAGUGUGUGGACAUUGAUAAUGAGAGC